CGCCAUGGUGACUUGCAAGCAACUCACUGCACUUAGGCACUGGACUACCUGAAUUUUUAAUUCAGUGACGGAUGGCUGCUGGGUGUAGUCAAGUACUUGACUUGUCGGUGUGUGUGUCAAGAUGGGAUUGACCACUCCAAUUCAGGAGCUGUGUAUAGUUGUAUUUCAAUUUAGAAAAAUCUUGGCCAGGGUAGUCCUAGUGAGGAGUCACAGGACUGAUUGAGUUGAGCAUGACUCGGAUGAUCUA
This 247-nucleotide long non-coding RNA is filed under the name Elaeis guineensis (African oil palm). Its description in RNAcentral is "long non-coding RNA (EGUI_LNC079069)". Lineage: Eukaryota; Viridiplantae; Streptophyta; Magnoliopsida; Arecales; Arecaceae. The record is from RNAcentral.